UUUAAAGUCUAGUCUGCCCAAUGAUUGUAAUAUUUAAUGGCUGCAGUAUUUUGACUGUACAAAGGUAGCAUGAUCAUUAGUUUUUUAAUUGAAAACUGGUAUGAAUGGCUGGAUGAAAAAAUGACUGUCUCAAUAUAAUUUAUUUUUGAAUUUUAUUUUUAAGUAAAAAAGCUUAAAUUUUUUAAAAAGACGAGAAGACCCUUUAGAGUUUUAUAUAUAAUUUAUAUAUUUUAAUUUAGUAUUUUGUUUUUAUGUUUAUGUAUAUUUUGUUGGGGUGACAUUAAAAUUUAAUUAACUUUUAUAAUUUUUUAUCAUUAAUUUAUGUUUAUUUGAUCCUAUAUUUUAGAUUAAAAGAAAAAAUUACCUUAGGGAUAACAGCGUAAUUUUUCUUCAGAGUUCAAAUCGAAAGAAGAGAUUGCGACCUCGAUGUUGGAUUAAAAUUUAUAUCUGGUGUAACAGUUAGAUAAUUAGGUCUGUUCGACCUUUAAAAUUUUACA
RNAcentral lists this ribosomal RNA (497 nucleotides) under Metoecus paradoxus. RNAcentral describes it as "partial 16S ribosomal RNA". The stretch from base 371 to 497 matches the Rfam family "Bacterial large subunit ribosomal RNA", at positions 2473 to 2600 of the family's 2925-position model. Lineage: Eukaryota; Metazoa; Arthropoda; Insecta; Coleoptera; Ripiphoridae. The record is from RNAcentral.